UACGGGGGGGGCAAGCGUUGUUCGGAAUUACUGGGCGUAAAGGGCGCGUAGGCGGCCUUCUAAGUCAGACGUGAAAUCCCUCGGCUCAACCGAGGAACUGCGUCUGAUACUGGAAGGCUUGAAUCCGGGAGAGGGAUGUGGAAUUCCAGGUGUAGCGGUGAAAUGCGUAGAGAUCAUGAGGAAGACCAGUGGCGAAGGCGGGUCUCUGGACAGUUCCUGACACUGAGACACGAAGGCCAGGGGAGCAAACGGG
Molecule: ribosomal RNA, 253 nt
Filed under: uncultured bacterium
Lineage: Bacteria
Description: partial 16S ribosomal RNA
Rfam family: Bacterial small subunit ribosomal RNA
Source: RNAcentral